Molecule: ribosomal RNA, 118 nt
Filed under: uncultured bacterium
Lineage: Bacteria
Description: partial 16S ribosomal RNA
Rfam family: Bacterial small subunit ribosomal RNA
Source: RNAcentral
UACGUUCCCGGGCCUUGUACACACCGCCCGUCACGUCACGAAAGUCGGUAACACCCGAAGCCCAUGGCCCAACCCGUAAGGGAGGGAGUGGUCGAAGGUGGGACUGGCGAUUGGGACG